RNAcentral lists this ribosomal RNA (246 nucleotides) under uncultured bacterium. RNAcentral's name for it is "partial 16S ribosomal RNA". It matches the Rfam family "Bacterial small subunit ribosomal RNA", at positions 531 to 776 of the family's 1533-position model. The record is from RNAcentral.
GUCCCAAGCGUUGUUCGGAUUCACUGGGCGUAAAGGGUGCGUAGGUGGUGAGGUAAGUCCGAUGUGAAAGCUCCGAGCUCAACUCGGAAAUUGCAUUAGAAACUACCUUGCUAGAGGGUUGGAGGGGGGACUGGAAUUCUCGGUGUAGCAGUGAAAUGCGUAGAUAUCGAGAGGAACACCAGUGGCGAAGGCGAGUCCCUGGACAACUCCUGACACUGAGGCACGAAAGCUAGGGGAGCAAACAGG